AACGCACAUUGCGCCCUGUGGUAUUCCGCAGGGCAUGCCUGUUCGAGCGUCAUUUCAACCCUCAAGCCCUGCUUGGUGUUGGGCCUGGCCCGUCGCGGCCGGCCCUAAAGUCAGUGGCGGCGCCGUGUGGCUCUAAGCGUAGUAAUGCUCUCGCUCCAGGGUCCCGCGGCAGCUUGCCAGCAACCCCCCACUUCAAUGGUUGACCUCGGAUCAGGUAGGGAUACCCGCUGAACUUAA
RNAcentral lists this unclassified non-coding RNA (237 nucleotides) under uncultured fungus. Its description in RNAcentral is "sequence contains ITS2". The stretch from base 1 to 52 matches the Rfam family "5.8S ribosomal RNA", at positions 103 to 154 of the family's 154-position model. Lineage: Eukaryota; Fungi. The record is from RNAcentral.